GAUGAACGCUGGCGGCGUGCCUAAUACAUGCAAGUCGAGCGAACAGACGAGGAGCUUGCUCCUCUGACGUUAGCGGCGGACGGGUGAGUAACACGUGGAUAACCUACCUAUAAGACUGGGAUAACUUCGGGAAACCGGAGCUAAUACCGGAUAAUAUAUUGAACCGCAUGGUUCAAUAGUGAAAGACGGUUUUGCUGUCACUUAUAGAUGGAUCCGCGCCGCAUUAGCUAGUUGGUAAGGUAACGGCUUACCAAGGCAACGAUGCGUAGCCGACCUGAGAGGGUGAUCGGCCACACUGGAACUGAGACACGGUCCAGACUCCUACGGGGGCAGCAGUAGGGAAUCUUCCGCAAUGGGCGAAAGCCUGACGGAGCAACGCCGCGUGAGUGAUGAAGGUCUUCGGAUCGUAAAACUCUGUUAUUAGGGAAGAACAAAUGUGUAAGUAACUAUGCACGUCUUGACGGUACCUAAUCAGAAAGCCACGGCUAACUACGUG
Molecule: ribosomal RNA, 496 nt
Filed under: uncultured bacterium
Lineage: Bacteria
Description: partial 16S ribosomal RNA
Rfam family: Bacterial small subunit ribosomal RNA
Source: RNAcentral